CGCGUAGGCGGGCCUUCAAGUCGGGUGUGAAAACCGGCAGCUUAACUGCCGGCCUGCAUUCGAUACUGUCGGUCUUGAGUACAGGAGGGGAAAGUGGAAUUCCAGGUGUAGCGGUGGAAUGCGUAGAUAUCUGGAAGAACACCAGUAGCGAAGGCGACUUUCUGGCCUGAUACUGACGCUAAAGCGCGAAGGCUAGGGGAGCAAACA
RNAcentral lists this ribosomal RNA (207 nucleotides) under uncultured bacterium. RNAcentral describes it as "partial 16S ribosomal RNA". It matches the Rfam family "Bacterial small subunit ribosomal RNA", at positions 568 to 774 of the family's 1533-position model. The record is from RNAcentral.